This 440-nucleotide ribosomal RNA is filed under the name uncultured bacterium. RNAcentral's name for it is "partial 16S ribosomal RNA". It matches the Rfam family "Bacterial small subunit ribosomal RNA", at positions 338 to 795 of the family's 1533-position model. The record is from RNAcentral.
CCUACGGGAGGCAGCAGUGGGGAAUAUUGCACAAUGGGGGCAACCCUGAUGCAGCGAAGCCGCGUGAGUGAAGCAGUAUGUCGGUAUGUAAAGCUCUAUCAGCAGGGAAGAAAAUGACGGUACCUGAUUAAGUAGCCGCGGCUAACUACGUGCAAGCUGCCGCGGUUAUAAGUAGGGGGCAAGCGUUAUCCGGAUUUACCGGGUGUAAAGGGGGCGUAGACGGCAGCACAAGUCUGGAGGGAAAUGCCGGGGCUUAAACCCCGAACUGCUGUGGAAACUGUGCAGCGUGAGUGCGGGAGAGGUAAGUGGAAUGCCUAGUGUAGCGGUGAAAUGCGUAGAUAUUAGGAAGAACACCAGUGGCGAAGGCGGCUUACUGGACUGUAACUGACGUUGAGGCUCGAAAGCGUGGGGAUCAAACAGGAUUAGAUACCCGUGUAGUC